This 701-nucleotide ribosomal RNA is filed under the name uncultured Cellulophaga sp. RNAcentral describes it as "bacterial SSU rRNA". It matches the Rfam family "Bacterial small subunit ribosomal RNA", at positions 154 to 857 of the family's 1533-position model. The record is from RNAcentral. Lineage: Bacteria; Pseudomonadati; Bacteroidota; Flavobacteriia; Flavobacteriales; Flavobacteriaceae.
AAAUUUGGAUUAAUAUCUUAUGUGAUAUGUGACUGGCAUCGGUUACAUAUUAAAGGUUACGGUAAGAGAUGAGCAUGCGUCUCAUUAGUUAGUUGGUAAGGUAACGGCUUACCAAGACUUCGAUGAGUAGGGGUCCUGAGAGGGAGAUCCCCCACACUGGUACUGAGACACGGACCAGACUCCUACGGGAGGCAGCAGUGAGGAAUAUUGGACAAUGGACGGAAGUCUGAUCCAGCCAUGCCGCGUGUAGGAAGACUGCCCUAUGGGUUGUAAACUACUUUUAUACAGGAAGAAUAAGAUCUACGUGUAGAUUGAUGACGGUACUGUAAGAAUAAGGACCGGCUAACUCCGUGCCAGCAGCCGCGGUAAUACGGAGGGUCCGAGCGUUAUCCGGAAUUAUUGGGUUUAAAGGGUCCGUAGGCGGGCUGUUAAGUCAGAGGUGAAAUGCUGCGGCUCAACCGUAUGCACUGCCUUUGAUACUGGCGGUCUUGAGUUAUAGUGAAGUGGCUAGAAUAAGUAGUGUAGCGGUGAAAUGCAUAGAUAUUACUUAGAAUACCGAUUGCGAAGGCAGGUCACUAACUAUACACUGACGCUGAUGGACGAAAGCGUGGGUAGCGAACAGGAUUAGAUACCCUGGUAGUCCACGCCGUAAACGAUGGAUACUAGCUGUUCGGUUUUCGGACUGAGCGGCCAAGCGAAAG